Molecule: long non-coding RNA, 1306 nt
Filed under: Macaca fascicularis (crab-eating macaque)
Lineage: Eukaryota; Metazoa; Chordata; Mammalia; Primates; Cercopithecidae
Description: lncRNA (ENSMFAG00000056034.1)
Source: RNAcentral
AAAGGGGGCGCCGAGGGAUUCAGACGUGAGCUGGGGGCAGGAGAAGGGCGCCCUUGGGAAGGAGGCGGGAGGGAGCGCGUGAAAGAGGGAGCGCCCAGGGCAGGGGAUGUGGUUGGGGGGGGCGCGAAGUGCUGCAUUUCUAGGGGAGGUGCUAAGCUCGCAUCCUGGCCCUUCCCACCUCGCCGCCGCAGGGAGGGAGGGGGCCGGCGUGGGCUGAUGCUCGUAGUCUCCCGCCCCCGGACCACCCCCUCCAGAGUCCGGGAGCUGUGCAGCCCCAGAUCCUCUGGCUAAGGACUGGCCUGGGCGCCCCGAAAGCCCGCAGGACUGAGUUGUCAGUCUCUGGAGGAGCGGGUCGUCUAGAAGUCAGUCUGUUUCCCUGGCACCCAUCCUUCGCACUUAAACCUGGCCGCGAGUCCCCCUUGAAGGUAGAAGUGUCUGGCAUGGAUCGCUCCCGAGGAAGCUCAGCCUCAGGCUCAGUCACCUGGGCUCUCUCCGACCGUCCAGGGACGCCGCGAGGAAAGCGAUCGUGCGGAUCGCUCGCCACCAGCCGCUCUCCAAAUGUGUGCAGAAUGGAGGCGAAAGCCAUCUGGUGGUCUUCUGGAUGACAAAGCCAUGCCAUAUCUCAUGGAGAUGAUCUAAGAAGCAUCCAAAGAGACUUCAGGACCUACGUGGCCUUUGGUACAGCCAUUGUGGGAGUACCACACACAAACACAGCCAAGAAGGAUGCUGGCACCAGAGGGUCCCCUGAGAGCCACCCUCAGCCCUCCCAUUGGUGUGCCAGGCUUCUCAGAGUUAUGCUCAGAGAAGGACCCAGUUACUCAGGCUACGAUGAUCUUUUUUCACCUCUUUUAACAAAAAUAUUGAAAUAUGUCACAAGCUUAGAAAAACAUAAAAGAUAUAAAUGUGCACAAUUUAUUUAAAAAUUCUAAACACCUGUGUGACUACCACUCGCAUGAAGACAUAAUAUGUUGCCUGAAACUCCUCAUGUGAUCCGCCUUAAUCAUGCCCCUUCCCUGAAAUAAAACACUAUGGUCAACCACUUCGUUGCUUUCUUUUAUAUCUCUACCACCUUAGUAAAUAUCCCAGGACAAUAUUUCAGCUUUGUCGGCUUUGAAUUUAAAAUAAAUUAAGUCAUAUUUUAUGUAUUUGUGUCAAUAUAAAAAUUAUCCAUGUUAUGGAGUGUACUGUGGCUCAUUCAUUUUCACUACUGUAUAGUAUUCUGUUGUAUGAUUAUACCACAGUUACUCAUUCUGCCUUUGAUAGGUUUUUGGUUGUUUCCAGUCAUUGCCUAUUGCAGACCAUGCUG